UACGUAGGGUGCGAGCGUUAAUCGGAAUUACUGGGCGUAAAGGGUGUGCAGGCGGCUGAGUAAGACAGAUGUGAAAUCCCCGGGCUUAACCUGGGAACCGCAUAUGUGACUGCUUGGCUAGAGUGCGUCAGAGGGAGGUGGAAUUCCACGUGUAGCAGUGAAAUGCGUAGAUAUGUGGAAGAACACCGAUGGCGAAGGCAUCUCACGAAUCCGCGAUUGACGCUGAUGCACGAAAGCGUGGGUAUCAAACAGG
Molecule: ribosomal RNA, 253 nt
Filed under: uncultured Sutterella sp.
Lineage: Bacteria; Pseudomonadati; Pseudomonadota; Betaproteobacteria; Burkholderiales; Sutterellaceae
Description: partial 16S ribosomal RNA
Rfam family: Bacterial small subunit ribosomal RNA
Source: RNAcentral